Non-coding RNA from Podarcis lilfordi (Lilford's wall lizard), 93 nucleotides. The record is from the annotation of a GenBank genome assembly. NCBI's taxonomy places the organism in Eukaryota, Metazoa, Chordata, Lepidosauria, Squamata, Lacertidae.
GGAAUGUCCUGGGCAAGAUAAAAGGAACUGACAAAUUCAAUAAAUAAUAAACUGAAUUUGUCAGUUCCUUUUAUCUUGCCCAGGACAUUCCAA